Molecule: long non-coding RNA, 5798 nt
Organism: Lolium rigidum
Lineage: Eukaryota; Viridiplantae; Streptophyta; Magnoliopsida; Poales; Poaceae
Exons: 4
Source: RefSeq, a predicted model, not a curated record
UCCGAGCCGCGGCGGAAUUCGCCUGGAGAGGCACCGGCCGCCGCUCGCGACGUCGCGGCCCCGAGGUGCCGUCAAGGAUCCUGACCUGCAGUCUUAGGGAGGAGCACAAGGCUGCCGAGAGGAGAGCGGAAGGACAGCAGGGUGCCAUGGCUAGAGGAGGUAGAGCUCGACCUGGGGAGCAGACGACUGGACCGAUGGAGGGGUUCGGCCUCCAGCGUCAUCGCAGCUGCGUGCCCUCCUCCACUGCCGCCUCCUUCCGGCCGGCCGGCAAUUUUCCACGUCUACAAGGCAGUCACGCAUCCUAGGUUUCCCUCUUUGUGUGAAAACUGAAUCACUGAAUUCUCUAGUGAGCUUUGGGUGUCACAUUUUUGCUGCUGAUAGGUAUGAGAACCAGGAUGCAAAUGCUACAUCGCAACUUGUGUAUACCAAGGUGUUCGCCCUCUCACUUGCUGACGCCCUCAGUGCAGGAGAGAUCUCACUAAUCUUCAUGAACAUGCUCAUGUCGCCAAUGCAUUGCCUCCCCACCCGGUAAGCGUUGGAUGUUAACGUGGAGAGGGUGGACGAUGUGGAGGCACCCCAAUGUUCUUGGUUCUUCGAACUGAUUUGUGGUGAGAUCAUGAGAACACCAGAUGGCAUGCAUCAAUGAGGGCACACAUCGUUAAAUCUGAUAGCUGCAAACAAACAUCUUCUUAAUCUGAACCUUCUUUAGGCUUUUACAGUAGCAUAGUUCACGUGCUAAUAAAAUCGUUUGAAUAUGUUUCUUCUGAAGCCCAUCAGAUUUCGAAGUUGCAGAUUUCAGAUGUUCAAAGAUCAUGUCUCUUUAUGUAUCAGAUAUUUUGUAUGAUUGUAUCACAAGGUAGAGUGAUAACCACACACAAAGAAGGAAGUCUGAGUUUGCAGCUACUUUUUGUUGGUUAGGCUGCAUGGGUCCUAGAUGGUAAGCCUAGAGGUGGAAAGUCGAAGAUUUUGAUGGAAGGCGCAAAGAACGACGAUGCCGGUAGCGGGGCCAAGGAGAUUAGAUUCUGGCUGUCUAAAUAUACUGUCUCUGCAUGUGAUUCUACAUGGUUUAUGGUGCAAGUUCAUUGGUUUGAUUCUGAUACCCAGGUUUCAAGGGUCACUUCUGAUGUGUUUUUUUAUGUGUAGAAUUCCACUUUGAUUAUGUUUAUAUGGCUGGACCAUUUUUAAAAACUAGCCAUCACGAAUGACCAGUAGUAAAGUAGCAGUUGGUUGAAUAUGUUUGUGGGUUUUGAAUUGAGCAGAAAAGAAACACAUUUUGUAAUUCAAAUUAUAUUAUGUAAACAAAAGGAUGAGUGAAAGUUGUUCAUUAGAAUCAUAGGAAACUGAUUCCUUUUUUGGGGGGUUCGGUGUGUAUAGAGUUUCUUACCGAUUUGAAUCUGGAUGGCUGGACUCUCUACAGGACUGAUCUGUCUGAAUUCGUUUUUUCGUGUUGGAAGUUCCUAAGAGCUUCAACCAUUCAUUUUGUGUUGGGAUGAGGUAUAAGAUUUAGUACGGGAGGUCUGUUCCUUUCAACUGAAUUAAAAUUUUCGUUUCUACAAUAUCUACAGAGUUAUAGUUUUCUGCUUUGUUUUCUAGGCGAAUAAUUACAUGCAUUAAUGAAGUAGACUUAAUUAGGAGGAUUGACUCAAACUAGAAAAGUCGGCUGGUAUGUAUGAAUUUCAGUUGAUUGUAUUAAGCAUAUCAUCCCUAGCAACUCACAUCGCCACUAUUUCCAGGCUACCUUGCAACUUCUUAGAGAAGUAUAUUGCUUCUGGAACUAUUUGUUUAUGGUACUCAAAAUCUGGCUUAAAAUGCUCCCAAUGACAACUGAAUGGUUGUAGUGUGCUAAUACUCAUGCCCACACAUUCAGGUUUAUUCUCCAAUACCACAUUUUUUUGAACAGGCUUCCCAAUCCAUAGAGCAUGAUUUCAAGAAAAUGAAUUUGAACCAAGAACCAACUGUGGAUCUGAUGCAGGGUAAGCAUGAUUGGAUGGUAGGUAUCAUUUUAUUCUAAGUUUCCUUCUAAAUUCGGCAGAACAAUAGUUAUAUAUGCUUUGUUAGCUUUUGUAAAACAUAUGGCUCUUGGUACUUGGUACUUGAUACUACACUGCCGAUCGAUUCUCAUUUGUUCGAAGGAUGCUACAUGGAAUUAGGUGGAUGUCCCAGUUGUCAAUAUUGACAUAGGUGCGUACUGCUAUAUAGUCAUUUAGACAAUUUAUUCACCACGCAAUACUGACUUAAUUUAUUUGUUUAAAAUUGAACCUUUUAUGAAAUUUAUUGUAACAAUAUAUGUUUCUAGAUUGUUUGUCUUUUAUUGAGAGCUUUUAAUUCUGUUUGGAACUUUGGGAUUCUGUAGACCAGGUUUGCUAAAUACGAACUAUGAAUCGAUAUUUGGCAGCUCCUAUUUUUGAGUUCUCAUCUUCUUUAUACCUGCCUUUCUAGGAGGUAUUGUUGUGUGACGGUUUCAGAUACUGAAGCGGCGGUGGCGGCGAUACAGAAAAUAUGAGAAGAUACAUCAUUGGGCGAGCCCUUGCUUCAACCACCAUGGGUCUAUGCUGGCUGUCAUCUCAGGACCUAGAUACUCAAAAGGAAGGCAGCCGGAGAAUCAUGUUCCCUUCAUGCAUAUACCCAAGAAAUAGAGAAGCAACCUAUGAGGUACUAUCAACCUAUUUGUUGACCCAAAUGUCUAUACGUACCCUGUCAUGCUAGAAGUACUGUUGUGCACUAAAAUAACCUCAUUGUACAUUUUUGAGCUAUUUCUACUGCUUUGACAGAACAAACUUUAAUUACUUUUGUAGAUAUACCUAUUCUUCUGAUGGAUUGUGUUCCCAAAUAUGGAAAAUAAUCGUUCUUUUGAUUCCGUCAGAACUGGACAACAACAUGGCUCCUUUCCAGUUUUUCAGUCAAUAAUAAUAGUAUCAGUUCAACCGUUCACUUAUCCCGAUUCCUCUGAGUUGGCAUUAUUGCUUUUUAAACUAUCUAGAGAAGUUCCCCUUUAUAAUAACGUGUCUUCAUGCUAUCAUAUCAGCACUUCAGCAGUACAUAUACAUGAUUUCAGGUCUGAAAUUGUGUAAAUUGGGAGUAAAAUCCUCAUCCAUUCAUACUUAUAGUUUAGAUCAGUCCAUGCUACCAUUUUAAUAUUUCCGCUCUUAAAUUUUACUUGGUUAUCCCACGUGUAUGCUUUUAUCUUGCGAGUUUGUUCUGCAUUUAUUUUUUGGGACGAGCUGAAUGACCAUGGAACAAGGUAUUUCUAUUUCUUUUGUGUGUUGUUUAUUUGCAUCUACCAGUUGUUCAGUGCAUCUACCAGUUGUUCAGUGCAUCUACCAAUUGUUCAGUUUCUGAAGUGAAACUUAUGUUUCCAUGGAAAGGUUAUGUUCUAUAAAAAAUAUUUUCCCAUGACUCUCUUUACUGGCUUACUGACCGAAAAUGCUUGCUAACAAUAGUGAUGAAACAAGUUGUUUUAGGCUGAUGGUUCACUUCUGAUUUUUAGCUACUCUUUCUUUUCCACUGGAUAUUGGUGAAAAUAAUAAAUUAUAAGAGAUGCAUUCCCUUUGUUUUCUGCAUUGUGCCUGCGAUGUGUCACACAUGGUCUUAGUUACCCAUAUCUAUUUUCCUGGGUAAAAAUUGUGUGUUAAUAUCAUCGGUAUAAUUUUUCGUGAAAACAUAAAAAGCAUUGUAUUUCAACGCAUUCAUAGAAAAGAAGGUUUUUUACAAGCCAAAGAUGAGGGAAUAACUAAUUUUCUGCUAUUUAUUUGCAUGUAAAAACCAUUUGUUCUCCGUGAAGCCAUAUGUAUGACCUGCAGAACUGCAAAGUACCUAUAAGAGUUUAAUGAUUUUGUGUUUAACAUCGUCACCUAUAAGGAUGCCUGUGGAUUAUGUUCUUAUCCUUACAUAACACUAACAGUUGGGUUCCAGUUGUCUCCACACUUGCAUUCUCCCGCUUUAGUUAGCUAAUUUUGUUUUCCUUCUUUUCCUUUUGAUUUAUUAGCCUCGGUAAAGCUUCAGUUUUUGCUUGCUUCCAUUUGUUCUCGCGUGUGACAAAUUUAAAUUGGUUAUUGAGAAUAUACAAGAUUUUUGGUUCUUGCUGAUUGUUCGGUCUAACAACUGUUCUAUACACACAAAAAUUGUUGAAUACUACGUAGCUUACUGUGUGGAUAGAUUUCCCUUUACCUAAUAGUUAUCCACUCUGGUAAAACAUCAUGAUGUUUCUAAUAUACCUCGUGUAAAAUAGUGUGUUCUUGGCCAUUUUUUAUCUGUUGGUUAGGCAUCUUAUCAAGUUACAUUGGUUUUGUCUAUCUUAAAUACUAUAUGUUGUCACCUGAUUGUUAUGCACUCACUGGUCCUUAUUUGCUCCUUCGUUUGAUCAGUUAUAUAUCUGUUCCGUUGAAAGAAAUGCAGUAGGGGAACCCCCUACAGUUAUCUCCAGAACCUUGUCUGUCAGUAGUGAGGCAAUGGGGUUGAAGCUUCAUCGGAGUGCUUGCUACUUCUUUGCAUUGGUUGGUCGUGUUGUUUCCAGAGUUUUCGACUAACAUACGUUUUCCCAAACUGAACCAUCAGAUGAGAGUAAUAUGCGGUCCUGUGCCAAUUUGUCAAUUGAGGGUUAAUAAGGUGAUAGACUAACAGAACUAGAAUGGUCAGGGCAUAGAAAGAACCGAACUUUGCAGUAUAUGGCUUUCUAUCAUUGUUAUAAAAAUUUCAUAUUACAUAUGUCUACAAAUUUAAUAGCUUGAAUUUAAUUUAAAAUGGAUAAAAAGGUGGAAGAGGAGGUGUCAUUUAUAUGUGUGUUAAAGAAAGGAAAAUACUGCAAUCGAAAACUUCUUCUAUGCCUAACCUUUAAUCAUUUCCACCAUUAUCCCCUCUUGUCAUCUAGGUUAUGCUUGCAGAAAGUGAAACUUUUAUAUUAAGAAAAGAUGAUGUUUAUGUAUGCUCAAGAGUUUGUGUUGCCACAUCAUAUAUCUAUUGGUUUGGAGGUUCUCACAUACAUGUGUUUUUUCUUAUCUCGCCUCUCUUGACACAGUUCAUAUCACGCUUCACAGACAAAUAACUUACCGAGUAGCAUUUUGUAGUAUGAGCUGUGCUCUGGUCCAUCCGACACACAUAUUGCCGGUCUAGGUCCCCUUCCUCGAAUUACUUAAUUUUCCAUCAGAACAAGUAGUGCGAUGGCCUUGCUAUAUGUCAGCAUUUUUGUUUGCCUUUGCCUUUGCAUAGUAUAGAUUAUUUUUUAUAACACCCAUUUGUUUUCCUAGCUCUUCCUUCCAAAUUAUUAAAUCACUAUUGUUUUUUAUGUUCUCCUUUCAGGGUUAUACCUAGAAGAUGAAUGCAUUUAGACCCAAGAACCUACGUGAGGUGGGCAGUGAUGGUUCUAUCCAUGGAGGCAUGGAGCUUGAGAUCGUUGUUGUCCAGGAGGGAGCCGGGCUCACCCGGUUCUUUUUUUGGUCAACUGUGUCGUUCAGUUCGCGAUCUCCGUGCGAGGAAUUAGCCAUGCAAGUUGCGCACUUAUUGCAGGGUUUGUAUGGAUUCAUGUUCACGACUAAAACUACGAGGGAAUGCAAGCCUAUAGGAACCUUGCGCGGUGUGUUGUUGUUCUGGCGGUUUCUUAGUUUGGAUGAUUGUGUCUUGCAUUGGUUCUAUUGGCUCUGUAGAUCCUCUUAGUCGGCGUGCUAUCAGAUGAUAUGUUAUAUUUGCUAUAUGUCCUCUAUGCCAUGCCUUUUGAAGACCAUGCUGCGGCUUUUGGUGUUCACUUGUUUUUGUUGCUCUUGGCUGAAUGAACAACCAUUAGUUGGUAUAAUAUAUUUUUCUUA